AACGAACGCUGGCGGCAUGCCUAACACAUGCAAGUCGAGCGAGGCCUUCGGGUCUAGUGGCGCACGGGUGCGUAACGCGUGGGAACCUGCCCUUAGGUUCGGAAUAACUCCCCGAAAGGGGUGCUAAUACCGGAUAAUGUCUUCGGACCAAAGAUUUAUCGCCUUUGGAUGGGCCCGCGUUGGAUUAGCUAGUUGGUAGGGUAAAAGCCUACCAAGGCGACGAUCCAUAGCCGGUCUGAGAGGAUGAUCAGCCACACUGGGACUGAGACACGGCCCAGACUCUUCCGGAGGGAGGAGGUGGGGAAAAUUGAACAUGGGGCAAAGGCCUAUCCCGGCAAGGCGGCGUAGGGAUGAAAGGCCUUGGGGUUGUAAAGCUCUUUACCCGGGUUGAUAAUGACAGUACCGGGAGAAUAAGCUCCGGCUAACUCCGUG
This 432-nucleotide ribosomal RNA is filed under the name uncultured bacterium. RNAcentral describes it as "partial 16S ribosomal RNA". It matches the Rfam family "Bacterial small subunit ribosomal RNA", at positions 29 to 507 of the family's 1533-position model. The record is from RNAcentral.